This 253-nucleotide ribosomal RNA is filed under the name uncultured bacterium. RNAcentral describes it as "partial 16S ribosomal RNA". It matches the Rfam family "Bacterial small subunit ribosomal RNA", at positions 524 to 776 of the family's 1533-position model. The record is from RNAcentral.
UACGAAGGGGGCUAGCGUUGUUCGGAUUUACUGGGCGUAAAGCGCACGCAGGCGGAUCGUUAAGUCGGGGGUGAAAUCCUGGAGCUCAACUCCAGAACUGCCUUCGAUACUGGCGAUCUUGAGUCCGGAAGAGGUGAGUGGAACUCCUAGUGUAGAGGUGGAAUUCGUAGAUAUUAGGAAGAACACCAGUGGCGAAGGCGGCUCACUGGUCCGGUACUGACGCUGAGGUGCGAAAGCGUGGGGAGCAAACAGG